AAGGUGGGUAGGUGGCUAGGUUUUCUAGGUUGCUAGGUUGGUGAUUACAAGUAAAGAGAAGGGGGUAUUUAUAACUAAAGAAUUAGGGUUUAGGGGUAGGGUGGCUCAAUCUUGACCAUCCAUGUGCCUUGUGUGUUGGGAAGAUUGUGGCCCUCCAUGUGUCCCUUAGUUGCCAACUCUUUUUUUCUUCUUUUCUUUUCCCUUUUCUUCUUUUUUUU
This 218-nucleotide long non-coding RNA is filed under the name Daucus carota (carrot). RNAcentral describes it as "long non-coding RNA (DCAR_LNC003661)". The record is from RNAcentral. Lineage: Eukaryota; Viridiplantae; Streptophyta; Magnoliopsida; Apiales; Apiaceae.